RNAcentral lists this long non-coding RNA (301 nucleotides) under Amphimedon queenslandica. Its description in RNAcentral is "uncharacterized LOC109587649". The record is from RNAcentral. Lineage: Eukaryota; Metazoa; Porifera; Demospongiae; Haplosclerida; Niphatidae.
AGAUAGGUUGCAGUAGGCGUGGCCAAUUAUCACGUCCGCCAUGUUGGAGUACAACCCGGAGUACAAGAGCUAAUGAGCUGGAACAGAAACGCUGAUUGAUUGAUCUAGGUAGCUCUGGCAGUGACAAAGAGAAAAAAGAAACAGAUGAAGCAAUAGUUGACUACUCAGGCUGUGCAUGACACCUGAAGACCUGGAAACUAACUAGACUAAUUAGUACUGCAUUGACUUUCAGUAUUGUCCACACACAACAAAUACAUAUUCAUUCUUGUUUUGGUUUUAAAAGAGGAGCCUGGGAACAGUA